Molecule: non-coding RNA, 1539 nt
Organism: Sus scrofa (pig)
Lineage: Eukaryota; Metazoa; Chordata; Mammalia; Artiodactyla; Suidae
Source: RefSeq, a predicted model, not a curated record
AAGGUCUUGCUCAAGAUUCUGAGUUUAGGGUUUUACCAACUCGCCCGAGGUCACCUAGCAUAUAAGUGACAGAUCUGGCCUGUCUCCAAAGUGGCCAAGAAGACCUCCCAUCAAUUCUCAGAUGACAGCGCUCCAGAUGGGUGAGAAGUAGCUGUGCUGACAUCUAAUCCAAUCCCUUCUCCUCUAUGGAGAGGCUGAGGUCUGGGCUUGUUGAACACAAGCUGACGUGUGACUGGGGCCAAGGCUGAGGACCGUCCGUCUCCACUGAUUUAUGAUUCUGAAUGUCAUCACUCUCAAAGAAUAUCCACGUUCCUCAGGCUUUCGCCUCCCUGUGGGUCCUCCCCUCUCUCGGCAGUGUCAUGACUCCUCAUCGGCCACAGGGGAAAGCGGUUCUAGUUUUCUCCUAGCUCCAAACAUGAACAAAACAAAAUCGUUUCUCUUGCCUGGGUUCCCUUCCCUUCUCUGCUUGGUUAUGUCUGAGAGGCUUUGGAAUUUUCAGAAGAAACAUUUGGCAAGCCCAGGGCAGACUUUAGCGAAACAGACACGGAGUAGUCAGAGCCUAUAAGAUCUCGCGAGAUGGAACAAAGCUUGUGAGACUAGAGGGAAAGGAAAACAACAGAGGCUGUGAUCAAAGCUGCUCCCGCCAGUCCAUCCACUCCAGGCUCUGAAUCUUCUUACCCGGUCAUCCAUGCAGCCGGCAAAUCUAUGAGCACGCAGCCUCCGUUUCCAUGGACACCACCGCCCGCCAGGGACGCAGAGGGUAUUGGAUAUAGUUCCCUGUGCUCUCCAAUAAGAUCUCAUUGGUGGAGCGCUGCAGCCAUGCAGGCGGCGGAUGCAGCACGCCCUGGACACAUCACGCAGAGCAGCACGGCGGGAGGCCCCGAGGGCCCGGGCUGCAGAGGUGGCCCAGGCGGCCCCAGCAGCCCCCGCGGUGAUGGCUGCGUUGCUGCUGAUGCAGCCGAGGGAGUUCCGCCUGUGGCGCCAGGAUGGCACCCUUCGGCAGCGGGCGGAGAGUCCGCAUCCACAGCCAAAAGGCCAGGGAACCGACCACUCGUAUUCACCCUAAGCGUACCUUUUCCGUCUUCCUUGGAGGCAGAGAUCGCCCGUGGCUCCCUGGCCCCAGAUGCUGAACCCCACCGAGGGGCGGCUGGGAAGAAGCUCUCAGUGAGCGCCAGCGUCCUGGCCGUCCACUGGAGAGCUGAAGAUUCCCGCCUCCUCCGAAUUUCCAUCCUAAACUUCCUUGACCAGCUUUCCCUGGCGAUUCGCACCAUGCAGCGCUUUGGGCCCCCUGUUAUCCGCUAAGCCAGGACUGGGGAGACAGGCCAGGGUCUGACCUUGUAUCUCUUCCUGGACAGUGCAGCCCGCAAGGGGCAUUGAUUCCUGUAGGAGUUGCCAGUUUAUUAUGGGGGCCUAAUCUUUUGCCUGUAUUGGCCCUUGGGCGCUCAGGAUCCACUUGCUUUGUUUGAUGCUUAAAUAUUUCUUAACCACAGAAAAUAAAACUGAGCUUCCAUGCUUAAAAAAAAAAAAAAAAGAGAGAGA